GACGAAGGAUGCAAGCGUUAUCCGGAUUCAUUGGGUUUAAAGGGUGCGUAGGCGGACUGAUAAGUCAGUGGUGAAAUCUCUUUGCUUAACAAAGAAACUGCCAUUGAUACUGUCGGUCUAGAGUAUAGAUGACGUUGGCGGAAUAUGACAUGUAGUGGUGAAAUACUUAGAUAUGUCAUAGAACACCGAUUGCGAAGGCAGCUAACGAAAACUAUAACUGACGCUGAGGCACGAAGUGCGGGAGUCAAACAGG
This 253-nucleotide ribosomal RNA is filed under the name uncultured bacterium. RNAcentral's name for it is "partial 16S ribosomal RNA". It matches the Rfam family "Bacterial small subunit ribosomal RNA", at positions 524 to 776 of the family's 1533-position model. The record is from RNAcentral.